Oenanthe melanoleuca is the source of this 1579-nucleotide long non-coding RNA. RefSeq lists it as uncharacterized. The record is from RefSeq and is a predicted model, not a curated record. The transcript has 4 exons. Lineage: Eukaryota; Metazoa; Chordata; Aves; Passeriformes; Muscicapidae.
ACUGCCGGCCAGCAGGGGGCGCCCCGGUGCCAGCUCCAACCCCUCAGGGGCCAUGGCGGCCUCGGGCGGGAGGGACGAGGCCAAAUCGCUCCUUUGGCAAAAUCACACUUUGCACCAAUCGGUCCCGGCACCAGCACCGGCAGCGCCCGGGCAGAAGAGACGAAGGCAGCAGCUUGGAUCCUGGUGCCCGGUGGCAGCGUAGCAGUGUCCCGGCCCAGGCACACACCCUGCGCAACACCCGCGACCGCUCUCCCUGAUGGGAACGCAAGGAAGGCAGCGCCGAACCCCAGGCAGGUCUCAGGCCCACAGCAGCACCACUCAUGCCUUUCCAUUCCUGAAAACCCUCAGCCUUUCACUGCCUUUUCCUCCUUCAGCCCUGGCACAGCAUCUCUGGGAAUGUUGAAUUCCCCUGGGAUGUUGAGGAAAGCAGGUGCUCCUUGCUGACACUGCCAGGGCUCCUCAGGGGCUCCACAGCACGUUUGGAGCUGCUGCUCAUCCUGGGGCACUGCUGGUGCCGACACAGCAGCCACAGCGGGGGGGAGGAGGAGGAGAGGGAGGAAGAGCAGACCCUCAACGACCUGUGGUAAUUCAGCCUGGGUCUACUGCAGUUCAGCCGUGCUGCUAAACCAUCCCUGUGCACAAACACCCAGCUCUGCUGCCUCUCCUGGGGACUUUGGGCUGCUGUGGCAGCACUGGACACAUUUUGGGGCUCAGGUGCCUCCAGCUCUGCCCACAAGGAGCUGGUUUGGCUGCCGGGAAGGUUUCCUGCAGCUUUUUACGAGUGCUGGGCAUGGUUCAGUGCCUGUAGCUGUGGCCGGUGCUUCACACUGGCCGGCCAGGAAUGCUGAGCUGGAGCAGCUGCUGAGGCAGGAGCGGCUGGAGCAGGUGCCCCACGGGAACAGCACCUGGCCAUGCAGAUGGAGCAGGAGCGCCGGGAACUCCACUCCGGGUGCUCAGAGCCGCCAGCCAGGGGACAGGUGGCCCCAGCAGCGAGUAACAGCCAGUGCCCAUGGCCGGCGACACUGGGAUGGCCGGGAAGGUGGCGCUGCUCCUGUGGGGCUGGUGUCCCCUGUCACCCACAGGUGCCCGGAGCACCCAGCUCCUGGUGGAGCCUCCCUGGACGCCGGCGGUGCUGUGGGACCGGGACACACUGACCUGCCAGUGCUCGGGGACCGCCGGUGCCACCUCCUGGUACAAGGGUGGGUGGCUCUGGCGGAAGAAGGGACCCGAGCGCUUCACUGUCACCGAGAGUGAACAUACACGUAUGGCAGACCUGGCACUGGGCUCAGCCCCUCUGUGAGGGUGUUAAAUGCUAGGAAUACCACUGGACAUCAAGAAAAUCCCUGGACGUCUGUUCGUGACAAGAAAUUUGCGUUUCUGCCCUUCCCAGCGCUGGAGACAUUCCGAGCUUGAUCAUCUACUUGGAUGGGUGAAGUUUUUCCUGCGUCACUCUUGGCUGCUUUUUUUCUUCUGUGUGUUGGGGAGUGCUUUUUUCCCUGUGUGUUUGCUAAAUAAACAAGUUUUUUCCACUUUUCCCCUGAGGAAAUCCUUCCCGAACCCGGUGGGGGGAGGGGGAGGA